Molecule: ribosomal RNA, 986 nt
Filed under: Coptodon dageti
Lineage: Eukaryota; Metazoa; Chordata; Actinopteri; Cichliformes; Cichlidae
Description: partial 16S ribosomal RNA
Rfam family: Bacterial large subunit ribosomal RNA (bases 189-986)
Source: RNAcentral
CGCCCAACAGCUAGCCCACCCACCAACCCCAAAUUUACCCUAUCUAUACCCCUAAACACACCACUACCCAACAAACAAACCAUUUUCCCACCUAAGUACGGGCGACGAAAAAGGAUCUAGGAGCAACAGAAAAAGUACCGCAAGGGAAAGCUGAAAGAGUAAUGAAACAACCCAGUUAAGCACUAAAGAGCAGAGAACACCCCUCGUACCUUUUGCAUCAUGAUUUAGCCAGUAAACCUUAAGCAAAAAGCAUUAUAGUUUGACACCCCGAAAACUAAGCGAGCUACUCCAAGACAGUCUAAUUUAUAGGACCACCCCGUCUCUGUGGCAAAAGAGUGGGACGARCUUUGAGUAGAGUGAUAGACCUACCGAGCCUAGUUAUAGCUGGUUGCCUGARAACUGAAUAGAAGUUCAGCCCUUUAAAUUCUUCCUCCCUGCUGGUCCAAGACCUUACACCGAACAAAAGAAAUUAAAGGAGUUAGUCAAAGGGGGUACAGCCCCUUUGAAACAAGACACAACUUUCCAAGGAGGAUAAAGAUCAUAACAAACUUAAAGGUCAAAUGUUUUAGUGGGCCUAAAAGCAGCCAUCCACCCAGAAAGCGUUAAAGCUCAAACAUACACAAUCACCUUCCGAUACAGACAACACAAUCUUACCCCCCUAAGCCUAUCAGGCCAUUCCAUAUAAAUAUGGAAGCGUUUAUGCUAAAAUGAGUAAUAAGAGAACCCCCUUCUCUCCCCGCACAAGUGUAAGUCGGAACGAACCAUUCACCGACCAUUAACGGCCCCAAAACAAAGAGGGCACUAGACAAAAAAUAAACAACUAGAAAACCACCUAGCCCCCCACCGUUGACCCCACACUGGUGUGCCAGCCGGGAAAGACUAAAAGAAAAAGAAGGAACUCGGCAAACACAAGCCUCGCCUGUUUACCAAAAACAUCGCCUCUUGAAGCCCACAACAUAAGAGGUCCCGCCUGCCCUGUGACUAUA